Equus caballus (horse) is the source of this 1255-nucleotide non-coding RNA. Lineage: Eukaryota; Metazoa; Chordata; Mammalia; Perissodactyla; Equidae. The record is from RefSeq and is a predicted model, not a curated record.
UAUAUCCUAUUGCUUGCCAUUUUUAUUUGUCAAUAUUAAUACAGGGUAAUGCCUAGCCAUAGAAAUCAUUUUUAAGAUUUCCAUUGAGACUUUUGGUCUAGUACUUUUGUAAAAGUAUUCCUAGCUCAGCUAGCUCCAUGAAAUAAAUAUAUCUGUAAACUCUUUUGAUUUUAUAGGAAUUUGCUGUCGAUCCAGAGAAAAUACAGUUGUAUUCUUUAUAUCAUUCACUGCAUCAUUAUAAACAUCAUGUUUAUCUCAUAUGUAAAGAUGAGAUUUCUUCUGUGCAGAAAAGAAAUGAAGAUUUAGGACAGGAAGAAAUUGUUCAACUUUGUAUGAAAAAUGUAAAAUGGGUGGAAGACCUAUUUGAAAAAUUUGGAGAACUUCUAAAUCAUGUUCAGCAGAAAUGUUCCUAACAAUUUCCACAAAAGUGCCGUCCAUUUUGUAGCACUAAUGAGAUGGCGGAGAGGGGUGAUCAAAGAGGGUCUGGGGCCUCAGACAAUUGAAUAUCAAGCAGUGGUCUCCUGCAGGCCCGCCUGCUCCGAUCAGGGAACUGGCAUCGUGACCUCUGCUGAAGGACAGUGGUGCUGCCAAGGAAUUCAGUCCUUCGGAAGUGGACCUAAAUCCCACGACAUGUGUAUCCUAAUGAAUGAUUUUUCUAUUUUGUAAACCAUUGCGUAACUGAGUUUUAUUUUCAGAAGCGUUUUUUUGACAAGUGAAGCAUGCACUAAAUACAAUUUUUCGUUAUUGCUAGAGAGAUAACACUUAAAUAACUUGAUAAUUUUUUCCUGACUCUGACUAAACACCAGGAUGAAAGAAAGGGGACAGAAAGCCUAUGUUUGCAUUCGUGUCUGGCCACGAAACGGAAAGUAUUGUACGUUAUGACAACAGAUCUGGUGUGAUGUGACAUUUUGUACGAGAAUAUCAACAGUUUAAAAUAUGAAAUUCAGAAUCUGCAUUCUGCUUUACGAACUCCUUUUACUCUUAUGUUCAGGAAACUGGAUGUGGAAUUGGUGCAAUUCUAUGACUGCUUUUCAUGUCAAAUUAUAUUGUGAUGAAAAAAACAAUGACAUACUAUUUUCCCUAUCUCAAAGAAAAGUAUUUUCCUUUAUACUUUUUUCCCUUUAGAAAAAUUCUCAGUCGUACAUUUUAUUUCACUAAUAGUUGUAUUUUUCACAAGGAAAGUGUUGUGGUUAUAAUUAUGUUUGAUGUAUCUGUACUACACUUUUCAUUAUUUUCAGUAAAUCUUAUUUAGAUA